Acanthopagrus latus (yellowfin seabream) is the source of this 2660-nucleotide long non-coding RNA. RefSeq lists it as uncharacterized. The transcript has 2 exons. NCBI's taxonomy places the organism in Eukaryota, Metazoa, Chordata, Actinopteri, Spariformes, Sparidae. The record is from RefSeq and is a predicted model, not a curated record.
AUCGCCUUCAGUGAUGUCAUUCAGUGGCUCUGCUGCAUUGUGGGUAAUGUAGGCGCCUGUAGAAGAAGAACUCAUGGAAUAAAAGAGGUGAGAUCUCUGGUUCUGAGUCAUCCAUUUUGGUGAAUUUCUUUUGCGUGUGUGUCCAUAAUGAGUCCACCAGUGUUAUAGGAGGGCCUACAUUACCCACAAUGCAACGGACACCACUGGAGAUUAAAUGCUGUUUCCUCUGGAGCCACAAAAGACUUUAUACUCCUUUUUCACACAUGCAGUUGUAUUCCCUGAGUCAUGUAAACACACUUUAAGAUAUUAAAAUGGUGGAGUUGCCCUUUAAAUGUUUACUUUAAUUUAACUGUUGUUUGUUAAUCUUUCAGCUUGCUCACUCAGCCCAUCAUUUUCUUCAAACUACACCCGAACAUGAACAUCUUCUGAUUGUACCUUGUCCUGGCCAGUAUGAGCCUCAGAGUGACACUCCUGUAUAUCAGGCUGUGACGCCACACGCAGAGGAAGCCAAAUAUCCAGAGAUAAUAAAUGCUCUGACGUCACGCGUCCUCAGGGCACGGAGGCUGGAGUGGGACGGGACAGUUUGCACCAGUCGGUGACUCAGGCUUUCAUCCGUCUCCUCCCCUUCCAGGAGACGCACCGUGUCCCCCAUUAACCAACGGGUGAAUCCAGGUACGUAACGCAUUAGAUAUGUGUGUGCGGAAUACAUAAUGUGUCACCUUCCUCUUAACAGCUGUAAAGUGGACGGACACAGUUUCAUGUGAGCUUGCACUAAUUAUAUACUGAAGUAGCCAAUCCAGCUCAACAUAUCCAGUGUGAACGUCCCAGCAUAGAUGAGACUUGACCUCUGUCCAUUUGUAUUAAGUCUCUGCUGCAGAUUUCAGCUCGUCCAAUUGAAAGACAGGCAGUUAUUUUGAGUCAUGUGACUCAUAAGGUAGCCUGAUUCAUACGUCCACACGGAUACAGAUUAAUAAAUUCAGAAUAUGUUUUGAGAGGGUUGAACGAUGUGAUCCUCCUCGUUGUUGGCAGUUUUGGCAGUUUCUAUCUUUUGCAUGUGAACUUGAACUAAAAGAAGUGAAAUACUUUGAUUUAUAAGUUCACUGUCAUGCCUUUAGACCUACCCUUUUUAAGUAACACCAGGUUAUUUCCCAGAGUUAAGACGCAACAAUGAAAUUAUUGACAGUAACAGAUUUGGAUGUGCCUUUUUGAUGAAGUGGUUCGUAUCGACGCACCUCUGAUGUUGUAAACUGUUGAUAUUCUGCUGUUUAAGCUGUUGUUUUUUUUAAAAGUUAGAGCUUAGUUUGAACCAGGACACAUAAAAUCAGAACGAUUACAGCUGUUAAGUUGCUUUGCUGAAAGACUGAACAAUAUUUGAUUUAUUUUGAUAGAUGAUAGGGUUGGUAGUUUGUCCAUUUAAUCUUCUCUGAAAAAAUUAUAAAUUCAGUUGUGAUUUUUACUGUACUCUGUAUGAAAUGAGUUCAUUCCCUUACAUAUGGAAACAAUGUUUUGUAGGCUGGUGCGUCUCUUCUGCUCCACAAAGUUUAAUUUAUGAUGGUAUGUUGUGACACUUUUUACCUUUAUUAACAUGGCUCCUGGAUAUUGUACCUACCCGUAUUAUGAUUUAAUAUUUUGAUCAAUCUUUAAGCCAUACUUACUGGAUACUUUAAUCUUUUGUUAUUUUAUAAUUGUAUGAUAAGUACUGGUAUCUGUUGAAUUCUUACACCUUUUUCAGUCACUUUUCAAGCAUUUUCAGAAUUCUUCCAGCAACUUGUAUCUUUGGUGAAUUACAUAUGAAAAUAAUUAUUAUUUUACAUAUUCACAUUAAAUCAAAUGUUAUUGUGCUGUGAGCAGCCAGAAUAAUGUUUCAUAAAGGCACCACAUACGGUUGAUGGAUUGAGGGAUGUGCAUGUUUUAAAAUGUGCCACCUGUCUGUAGGAAGACUUGUCAUCCUAUAUAACAUGGCUGAGACAAUAUAAAACAAAUAUUAUGAUAGUUAAGCUGUUAGUUUCAUGCAGAAGUGUUUUCAAGGACUUAAAGCACUCGUACAAAUCCUGUAAAAUACGCUGAGGAUCCACAAAAAUGCAAAAGAAAGAACAACUUUUCUGCUUUUAUUUGAAAUGUGAAUUUACACAGGGAAACUGAAUGUCAUGUUUGUGGUUAUAAAAAAAAGUUCAAUAACAAAAACUUUCACACAAAAGGUGUGGUUGGUAUGUCUUUUUGCAACAUUCGUUGUAGCUUCCCACUGAAUCUGAGCUCAGACAGAGGCACCUCUCUCUUUAAUAAAUAGUUUCAUUUACAGGAUGAGUAGUUAGAUAUAAAUAUGAAGGCGCAUUUAAAACUUUUUUUAAAAGCAAUUAUAAAUGUAUUGAUUCAAUUACAAAAAAAAAACAAAAAACAAAAAGGCAAGCAAAUCAACCAAGCAGAGAUGCACGAUGGCAAAGAAUAUUGGCAAAAGCAGAAAUUGGCACAAAAUGAUAAACGAACAAACAAAGCAAGAUGUUCAAACUCAAGUGAAACUUUAAAUUAUAGGCACUAGUUUCAUAACACCCACCACACCAAUGAUCAGAACAACUUCCCUAACACUGGCACACUGAUUCUUUUCAUAGCACAAGAGGUAAAAGCCAGCAAAACUUAUUCAUCUUGACAUCUUUUUCAAGACA